RNAcentral lists this ribosomal RNA (241 nucleotides) under uncultured Staphylococcus sp. Its description in RNAcentral is "partial 16S ribosomal RNA". It matches the Rfam family "Bacterial small subunit ribosomal RNA", at positions 99 to 334 of the family's 1533-position model. The record is from RNAcentral. Lineage: Bacteria; Bacillati; Bacillota; Bacilli; Caryophanales; Staphylococcaceae.
CGGACGGGUGAGUAACACGUGGAUAACCUACCUAUAAGACUGGGAUAACUUCGGGAAACCGGAGCUAAUACCGGAUAAUAUUUUGAACCGCAUGGUUCAAAAGUGAAAGACGGUCUUGCUGUCACUUAUAGAUGGAUCCGCGCUGCAUUAGCUAGUUGGUAAGGUAACGGCUUACCAAGGCAACGAUGCAUAGCCGACCUGAGAGGGUAAUCGGCCACACUGGAACUGAGACACGGUCCAG